AGUGAACGCUGGCGGUAGGCCUAACACAUGCAAGUCGAACGGCAGCACAGUAAGAGCUUGCUCUUACGGGUGGCGAGUGGCGGACGGGUGAGGAAUACAUCGGAAUCUACUUUUUCGUGGGGGAUAACGUAGGGAAACUUACGCUAAUACCGCAUACGACCUACGGGUGAAAGCAGGGGAUCUUCGGACCUUGCGCGAUUGAAUGAGCCGAUGUCGGAUUAGCUAGUUGGCGGGGUAAAGGCCCACCAAGGCGACGAUCCGUAGCUGGUCUGAGAGGAUGAGCAGCCACACUGGAACUAAGACACGGUCCAGACUCCUACGGGUGGCAGCAGUGGGGAAUAUUGGACAAUGGGCGCAAGCCUGAUCCAGCCAUACCGCGUGGGUGAAGAAGGCCUUCGGGUUGUAAAGCCCUUUUGUUGGGAAAGAAAAGCAGCAGGUUAAUACCCCGCUGUUCUGACGGUACCCAAAGAAUAAGCACCGGCUAACUUCGUG
RNAcentral lists this ribosomal RNA (492 nucleotides) under uncultured bacterium. Its description in RNAcentral is "partial 16S ribosomal RNA". It matches the Rfam family "Bacterial small subunit ribosomal RNA", at positions 29 to 507 of the family's 1533-position model. The record is from RNAcentral.